AAGAAUUAUUGAGACAUCUUUGGUACAAAAUGGUGUCAGCAUGUCUGUUUCAUUAACAAAGCUAAGAAAGAUUUCUUGAGAUUGGUAUAAAGUUCACAAAGAUUGAAAAAUUAUAAACAAAGCCAUCACCUGAGAGUAACAGAAGUGGGAAAGAUGUUGGAAUUUUGAAGAGAGAAGUUAUGAAACGGCCAAGAGAGAA
Molecule: long non-coding RNA, 199 nt
Organism: Lontra canadensis (Northern American river otter)
Lineage: Eukaryota; Metazoa; Chordata; Mammalia; Carnivora; Mustelidae
Exons: 3
Source: RefSeq, a predicted model, not a curated record